AUUUUUACCUAUAUAUUUGCAGAUAAGAAAAUUGCUGCUCAAAUUUUUUUCAAUAAUUUCAAAGAAAAGCACUCUCAACCGAUAAAUCAUCAUGUCUUUCAUCUCUGGGACUCCCCCUUCCCGGGAGUCUAAAUUGCCGAUCUGUGUGAACUGGACUAGAUCUCAAAUGACUAGGAAAGAAUGUCCAGUGGUUAAGGCAUUAUAGCCUAGGACUUGGGAAACCCGGCCUUAAUUCCGUGCUCCACCAGAGACUUGCCCAGGAUCACACACAGAAAGUUACUUCGCCUCUCUGUUCCCCAUUUGUAAAAUUAGGAUAGCACUUUCCUACCUCCCAAAGAUGUUUAGAAUAAAGACUGUAAGGCACUAAGAUAAAACAGUGAUGCGGGGAUGUAUACAGGAGCGCCACCAGCUUUUUUGCCGCCCUAGGCGGCGGAAGGUCCCGCUGCUGCAGUCACCGACCCCCAAAUGUUAGUGCCCUAGGUGACCGCCUAGGUCGCCUAAUGGGUUGCGCCGGCCCUGGACAUAUAAGUACUUUAAACAGAACAGUACUUCUCAUCACAAAAGCAUAUUUAAUAAUAGAAUAGAAACUUGUAUGCCUGGAAAUUUUCUGGCUAAGAAAACAUCAAGAAAAAACUUAACCAUGUGAUCCCUUUGGGGAAAUUGGACUACUUAGGUCAGACUUGGAACACUACUGUGGGUAAAUCUGCAGUGUAUCAAUUUGGGACAAUUUUUGGCCUUGCCACAAAUAGAACAGUAACUUCUAUUUCCUAUUUCCCUUCCUUGCCACAAAUAGAACACUGCUGCAUUUCUUCCAAGUUCAUAGGUGUGUACCUUUACAUUUAAAGACUGUG
Chrysemys picta bellii (western painted turtle) is the source of this 851-nucleotide non-coding RNA. The record is from RefSeq and is a predicted model, not a curated record. NCBI's taxonomy places the organism in Eukaryota, Metazoa, Chordata, Testudines, Emydidae.